Molecule: unclassified non-coding RNA, 337 nt
Filed under: soil metagenome
Description: partial contains 5.8S ribosomal RNA, internal transcribed spacer 2, and large subunit ribosomal RNA
Rfam family: 5.8S ribosomal RNA (bases 1-120)
Source: RNAcentral
GAUGAAGAACGUAGCGAAAUGCGAUAAGUAGUGUGAAUUGCAGAAUUCAGUGAAUCAUCGAAUCUUUGAACGCACAUUGCGCCCCUUGGUAUUCCAUGGGGCAUGCCUGUUCGAGCGUCAUUUGUACUCUCAAGCUCUGCUUGGUGCUGGGUGUUUGUCCCGCGUUGCGUGUGGACUCGCCUUAAAGCAAUUGGCAGCCGGCAUAUUGGCCUUGGAACGCAGCACAUUUUGCGAUCCUAGUCAUACUUGUUGGCAUCCAUCAAGCCUAUACAUUAACGCUUGACCUCGGAUCAGGUAGGGAUACCCGCUGAACUUAAGCAUAUCAAUAAGCGGAGGA